RNAcentral lists this long non-coding RNA (1490 nucleotides) under Citrus x clementina. Its description in RNAcentral is "Citrus clementina (C. clementina) long non-coding RNA (CCLE_LNC000268)". Lineage: Eukaryota; Viridiplantae; Streptophyta; Magnoliopsida; Sapindales; Rutaceae. The record is from RNAcentral.
UGAUUCUCGAAAUCAUAUUUUGAAAAAGUACUUACUCUCUAUUUUUAAAAAUCUAUUUUACGCAGGAAUAAUUAUAUCAAAUGUGAUUUUUUAAAAAUUUUCGAAACACUAAAAAUAAUUUUUAAUUUUUAAAAAUUACAUUUGAACCGUUUAAAAGCAAACACAAACAGACCCUUAAUAAACUUGCUGCAACUUAAUCGUAAGUAGAUUGCCCAAUUUAUUUAUUUUCGAACAUCAAAUUUUAUUUAUUUAAUCAUAAAGUAAUUUCUAUUUAUAUGUUUUGUAAAUUUAGUUCAUUGAUUGUAACUCAGCAUUUUACUAAUAUCAUAAAGUAUAUUCAUCGCAAAAAUAAUUAAAAAUAUGCUUUAGAAGCAGCAUACAUCCACAGCAAUAGAUGAUUCAUGCAACAGAUAUGUCACAGUGUGCAUUAAUUGUUGGAGCCAACCACAACCGACGAGGUAGUUAGAACCUUGUCUAUUAUCUGCAUGAUUGUUGGAGCCAACUAAACUACUUUUUUUGUCAAAUUCUUUUAUGCACUCUUGUCUUUGGAUUAUUAAUAUAAUUUUAACGGCUCUUCCAAUUUUAGUACUGUAAUGUUUAUCUUUCUAUCAAUUGAUUUUGUUGUCUGUGAUAAACUUUGAUCUAUUGUGAUGAUGUUUUUCUUUUUUCUUUUGUGUAACACAAUAGAAAAAAAAAAUAAUGGGUUCCCAUUUAAGUGUCUUGCUCAUUUUUUAUUCAUAUCUAGUCCAGUCAGUAUGUCAUUCUAUAAAUAUAUUUAGCGAGUGGAAAAAAUCAGCAUUAAAUGGAGAUUAUAAUACCAAUUCAAAUCUUCAAAAAUAUUAAAACUUAAUUAGAAGAGGUCUUAAUGACUUGUAGAUUUGAAUGAGAACUCGUCCAAAUUUUGAAGGAUGAAAAUUAAAAAAAAAAAAACCACAAGACUGGACUAAUUAAAUUGUUUUACCAUUACGUUAUACACCCAAUGUCAUGCCGCCACUUGUAAGUUCAAAGUAGAAUCCACGCACGCACACACACAUACCAACCCACUUUAGCAGAUUUUCAUUUUAAAAACUUUUGACUCUACCGUGUCAAACACUUAGGUUUCCAAGCACUCUAAAAGUACCCAACUCUCCCCCCACAAUUAACGGCUAAUAUGGUUACCAUUCAAUUACACAAAGGCCCUUCUAUGGAAACCACGCCCAUACGGAAGCGCAUGAGUUCGAGGCCCACAGGAGCUCGUCUAUCGCUUCUAACUAUCUGGACGCUCGUUAAAAUUCUUGAUUGUAAUAUAAAUUUAUUGUUAAUUAAUUUCACUUCACUUGUUUCGACAUUUAUCAUCACACCACACUAGUGAUAAUUGUGUUAAUAAUAUUAAAACAGGUAACACUUCGUUAAUUUUUAUCAUUAAUUAGACGUUUCAUUAAAAUUUUAGACUAUAUUAUAAAUGUAUAUAUUAAAUGUUCAAGUAGAUUUUUUUUUACAUUGAUAUUACA